UCCAGUUCGUGGUAUCGCCUAUUCGGAAAGGAAUAAUUAAAAAAUAAAAUUAUUUUACUAAUAUUUAAUUGAGAUUUGAAUUGAUGUUAAGUUCAUGUCUUCACGGGAAUGCGGAUUUUAGAGUAGAAUUCUCGUCUGCCUAUGGAUGUCCAAAUGCAGCAACUCAUACUGAUAAAACAUGAGCCGAUUUACGAUAUAUCGAAAUUUUAUAGGAGAUAUUAAUUUCGGAUGGAACGUAUGGAUUGGGCCCAUGUGCGGGCUUAGCAUCGAAUAAAUCUUUUGGGUGGGAGCCUCGGGAAGAGCUUUUCAGUAUGAACUCUCAGAUGGGUCUCCUUCUUUCAGUAGGCUAUAUCAUCGAGGGAAGGAUCAUCGAGGAAAAGAGCAUCGGGUGGAACUCUUAAAAUGGGCCUUUGGGAGGGGCCUUAGGCGGAUUUCCUUUUUUCAUAAUCAUCAAGGGAUCAUCAAUAGAUGUAGAUUCAUUUGCAAUCGAAUGAGUUCGACGUAUUGUCGAAUGGUUCGAUUCACCAUCGAUUUUUACGCGGAAAUACGGGAAGGAUAAGGAAGAACAUGCGCGCAUAUCAGUGGACAUAGGCGGGGAUAUUCGCAGACGCGAUUAAAAGUCUUAUAGGGGACUUCGUUUUAUUUGCUCGAAAAUUUGAUUAGAUUAGCUUGUGAACGCGGAUUUUAAAGUAGAAUCACUGUUAGCUUGUGGGUUUCCACAUGUAGCAAUUUCCACGUAAUGAGACCUGAAUCGGUAAUACUUGCAAUAUAUUGAAAUCUAAUUGUAAAUCACGUAAUGCAAGUACUACUGAAUGAAUAGCUGCAUAUCUCAAUCUAUUUUCAAAAUCCCUUCAAUCUAAUUCUAAUUAAAUAUUAAAAUACUAAUACUUUACAUUGCUAAUAAUAUUUCUACAGGCAAAUAGAUAAGAUAUAAUUAAAUUCAAAAAUAAUUUCUUUAAAUUCGCAAAUUUAUGUACUAAUUAUCAUAUGUAUUAAUCCUUUGUACUCCGUGCAAAUUUUUAAUAUGAUGUUUCAGUAAUUCUUAGUCAUUUUUAUUGUGAACUAUCAGCUAUUCCAGAAAUAUUUAGUCACAUUAAUUACUACAUAAAACGUUUUUUCAUGAAAAAUAUCGAAAACAUCAAGGCGUAAUUGUUGAACGAUUUAGAUAAACAAAGUCACAUUUUAAAGAUGAAGGUUUAAGACAAGAAUUUAUAUUUUAUUAUGCAUAUUUUUGUGCAUAAACAUUUUCGAAAAAAAUACCAUUUUUAAGCACGAUCUUUUUCAAAGAAAAUAAAGCUUCUUCAAAAUUACGAAAAAGCUAUGUCUUCACUUGACCAUUUAUUUUUAAUAUGAGAGUUUGUUCAUCAAAAUUAUUCAAAAAUUAUGUCUGUACUAAUUAUUGACGUAAAUUAUUGUAAAACCAGAGAUGAUGUAAAGCUCGAUUAUAAUAUUUCGAAAUUCAUAUAAGCAUUAUUUUUAUUUUGAAUAAAUUUGUGGAGUUAUAAUAGACGGUACGAUUUUAUAAUGAUCAAAGAAUAUUAUUUUAUUUCUCUUUUUGUAACAUUCGCUUUUUUACUUAUCUACUAUACACACAUACAUACAUACAUAUAUAUAAUCCUAAAAAUAAUUAGCAUUUUAUCAUUAUCAGUCCAAAACAAAUUACUAUCACCGUAUAAGGUACGAACAGUUUACAGAAUAUUACGAUUACAGAGCAUCAUAUUCGCAUUUAUCAUUCCAAUAGCGAUAUAUUUUUUUGUUUAAUAAAUUUGCAGCUUAUAGCAGAAAG
Vespa velutina is the source of this 1786-nucleotide long non-coding RNA. RefSeq lists it as uncharacterized. The record is from RefSeq and is a predicted model, not a curated record. The transcript has 4 exons. NCBI's taxonomy places the organism in Eukaryota, Metazoa, Arthropoda, Insecta, Hymenoptera, Vespidae.